This 429-nucleotide ribosomal RNA is filed under the name Fusobacteriota bacterium. RNAcentral's name for it is "Fusobacteria bacterium partial 16S ribosomal RNA". It matches the Rfam family "Bacterial small subunit ribosomal RNA", at positions 355 to 776 of the family's 1533-position model. The record is from RNAcentral. Lineage: Bacteria; Fusobacteriati; Fusobacteriota.
UGGGGAAUCUUCCGCAAUGGACGAAAGUCUGACGGAGCAACGCCGCGUGAGUGAAGACGGCCUUCGGGUUGUAAAGCUCUGUGAUCCGGGACGAAAGAGCCUGAGGUAAAUAGCCUAAGGAAGUGGCGGUACCGGAAAAGCAAGCCACGGCUAACUACGUGCCAGCAGCCGCGGUAAUACGUAGGUGGCAAGCGUUGUCCGGAAUUAUUGGGCGUAAAGCGCGCGCAGGCGGCUUACUAAGUCCAUCUUAAAAGUGCGGGGCUUAACCCCGUGAUGGGAUGGAAACUGGAAAGCUGGAGUAUCGGAGAGGAAAGUGGAAUUCCUAGUGUAGCGGUGAAAUGCGUAGAGAUUAGGAAGAACACCGGUGGCGAAGGCGGCUUUCUGGACGAGCACUGACGCUGAGGCGCGAAAGCGUGGGGAGCGAACAGG